Molecule: ribosomal RNA, 253 nt
Filed under: uncultured bacterium
Lineage: Bacteria
Description: partial 16S ribosomal RNA
Rfam family: Bacterial small subunit ribosomal RNA
Source: RNAcentral
UACGUAGGGGGCGAGCGUUAUCCAGAUUCACUGGGUGUAAAGGGAGCGUAGACGGCCAUGCAAGCCAGGGGUGAAAGCCCGGGGCCCAACCCCGGGACUGCCCUUGGAACUGCAUGGCUGGAGUGCGGGAGGGGCAGGCGGAAUUCCUGGUGUAGCGGUGAAAUGCGUAGAUAUCAGGAGGAACACCGGCGGCGAAGGCGGCCUGCUGGACCGCGACUGACGUUGAGGCUCGAAAGCGUGGGGAGCGAACAGG